CCCCACUUCUCUUUUCAGGAGCAAAGCAGCAGAAAUCUCUGACCUGAUUGGCUCGGAUCAGAAAAUCUCCAUGUGAAAGGGGCAGAUCAGCCGCAGACCUCCAGCCUUCCUCGCUGCUUUUUUCCCCAUCAGCAUCCGAUGGGGCUAUGUGUUCCUUAAUCUAUCUUGGGGGCACCCUGGAAGCACAUCUGGGCGAUGGCGUGUUCAGCACCACGGACAGCAUUACCCUCCCUUCCGCACUCCUUAAAGCCACUGGUCUAUUGCAGAACUCUAUUUGGACUGAACUGAGAUGCCAGCUGUGUAGAGUAUUUGAGGACUGUUUCCACAGGGCGGUGGAAGCACACAAAGGGCAUUUCUCUUUGAGAUCACAUGUCUGUCUUUGGGAAGCCACUCCAGUGAUUCCUAAGAGUCCACUGCAGAGACAGGUAAGGAACACACCUGUAUGUUGACCACAAGAACCAGCUUGCAAAUGCUUUGCCAUUUUACAGGAAAAAUAAAAAGAUAAUUUGAA
Peromyscus leucopus (white-footed mouse) is the source of this 511-nucleotide long non-coding RNA. RefSeq lists it as uncharacterized. The transcript is spliced from 3 exons. The record is from RefSeq and is a predicted model, not a curated record. Lineage: Eukaryota; Metazoa; Chordata; Mammalia; Rodentia; Cricetidae.